UGCAGUCACUACUGUGAAUCACUCUGGAUAAGAGUGUCUGCUAAAUGACGUAAA
Salmo salar (Atlantic salmon) is the source of this 54-nucleotide non-coding RNA. The record is from Rfam. Lineage: Eukaryota; Metazoa; Chordata; Actinopteri; Salmoniformes; Salmonidae.